This 1426-nucleotide ribosomal RNA is filed under the name uncultured bacterium. RNAcentral describes it as "bacterial SSU rRNA". It matches the Rfam family "Bacterial small subunit ribosomal RNA". The record is from RNAcentral.
GAGUUUGAUUCAUGGCUCAGGACGAACGCUGGCGGCGUGCUUAACACAUGCAAGUCGAACGGUGAAGCGCCUUCCUUUUUGGUGGGUGUGGAUGAGUGGCGAACGGGUGAGUAACACGUGAGUAACCUGCCCCCUUCUUCUGGAUAACCGCAUGAAAGUGUGGCUAAUACGGGAUAUUCUGUGCCUGCUGCAUGGUGGGUGUGGGAAAGAUUGCGCUUUUUUGGUGUUUUUGGUGGGGGAUGGGCUCGCGGCCUAUCAGCUUGUUGGUGGGGUGAUGGCCUACCAAGGCGGUGACGGGUAGCCGGCCUGAGAGGGUGGACGGUCACACUGGGACUGAGACACGGCCCAGACUCCUACGGGAGGCAGCAGUGGGGAAUAUUGCACAAUGGGCGCAAGCCUGAUGCAGCGACGCCGCGUGAGGGAUGGAGGCCUUCGGGUUGUGAACCUCUUUCGCCAGUGAAGCAGGCCUGCUCCUUUUUUGUGGGUGGGUUGACGGUAGCUGGAUAAGAAGCGCCGACUAACUACGUGCCAGCAGCCGCGGUAAUACGUAGGGCGCGAGCGUUGUCCGGAAUUAUUGGGCGUAAAGAGCUCGUAGGCGGCUGGUCGCGUCUGUCGUGAAAUCCUCUGGCUUAACUGGGGGCUUGCGGUGGGUACGGGCCGGCUUGAGUGCGGUAGGGGAGACUGGAACUCCUGGUGUAGCGGUGGAAUGCGCAGAUAUCAGGAAGAACACCGGUGGCGAAGGCGGGUCUCUGGGCCGUUACUGACGCUGAGGAGCGAAAGCGUGGGGAGCGAACAGGAUUAGAUACCCUGGUAGUCCACGCCGUAAACGUUGGGCACUAGGUGUGGGGGGCCUUUUCCGGGUUUUCCGCGCCGUAGCUAACGCAUUAAGUGCCCCGCCUGGGGAGUACGGCCGCAAGGCUAAAACUCAAAGGAAUUGACGGGGGCCCGCACAAGCGGCGGAGCAUGCGGAUUAAUUCGAUGCAACGCGAAGAACCUUACCAAGGCUUGACAUGUGCCGGUCGGCUCCGGAGACGGGGUUUCCUCCUUGUGGGGCCGGUUCACAGGUGGUGCAUGGUUGUCGUCAGCUCGUGUCGUGAGAUGUUGGGUUAAGUCCCGCAACGAGCGCAACCCUUGUCUCGUGUUGCCAGCACGUUGUGGUGGGGACUCGCGGGAGACUGCCGGGGUCAACUCGGAGGAAGGUGGGGAUGACGUCAAAUCAUCAUGCCCCUUAUGUCUUGGGCUUCACGCAUGCUACAAUGGCCGGUACAGAGGGCUGCGAUACCGUGAGGUGGAGCGAAUCCCUUAAAGCCGGUCUCAGUUCGGAUCGGUGUCUGCAACUCGACACCGUGAAGUUGGAGUCGCUAGUAAUCGCAGAUCAGCAACGCUGCGGUGAAUACGUUCUCGGGCCUUGUACACACCGCCCGUC